Suricata suricatta (meerkat) is the source of this 3844-nucleotide long non-coding RNA. RefSeq lists it as uncharacterized. Lineage: Eukaryota; Metazoa; Chordata; Mammalia; Carnivora; Herpestidae. The transcript has 3 exons. The record is from RefSeq and is a predicted model, not a curated record.
UUGGGCAGGAAUUAGGCAGCCCCAGGGGGAAGGCUGGGGGGCUCCCCUCGGCUGGGAGGGUUCUGGGGCUCAGCGGACUGCACACGCCCUCCCCUCCGUCCCCUCCCCUCGCCCAGGGUCCCGCCGGGUUCACCACGCAGCUCCGUCCUUGCUGAGAAUCCAGGCAUCUCCUCUAAUCCUGACGUGCACAGUUAACUCCAGGUCCUGAGUCACAAGUGACAGUGUCAACGGCUGUGCCUUCCGCUGAGACCCCAGGGCUGGCAGGAGAGGAAGGCCGCUCAUCGCAAGCCCGGGCACGCAGGCCAUGUCUCCCCAGCCUCUUUAAGUGCAGGGAUGCUGUGGCCCAGCUUUGGUGGCGCCCUAGAGUUGCUGUCACGAAGUCCGUAGAUCGCGCUCUGAAAGCACGGAAAUGUGUUUGCUCACGAUUCUGGCGGCCAGAAGCCCUAAAUCAAGACGUCAGCAGGGCGUGCUUCCUGUGAAAGGCCUGGGGGACAAUGUGUUCCUUGUCUCUCUCCAGCUCCUGGUGUCGCUGGCCGUCCGUGGGGUUCCUGGGCUGGGGGACGGGUCCCUCUGACCUCAGCCAUGGCGACUGUCCCUGUGUCUCCGGGUGUCCUCUCUUCUUGUAGGGACACCAGCCACUGGAGUCAGGGCCCCCUACUCCAGUCUGACCUCAUCUUAACUAAUUAUAUCUGCAAUGACCCUGUUGCCAAAUAAAAUCACAGUCACAGGCCCCAAGGGGUAGGACAGGGACGUAUCUUCUUGUGGGGAACACGCAGUUGUUAUCCACACUGGACAGGAAAGUGUCUCCCUCCCUUUAGGAGCCACGGAGGGUGGGCUACGGGGUGUGGUCUGUGGUUGGGUCCCCCCCUGGCGGUCACCCAGGUGGGGCCUAUGCUGGCUGUAUUUCACCGGCCUUCCAGGGGACUGUCCCACCCCAAGGAGUCGCCAGGGCUGCCAUCUCUGCCUUUCCGAAGGUGAGCUGCAGCUGUCUGCCUGAAAUGGGGGCUCAGGAAACGUCUGCCUUGGCCGCUGUAGGCUCCGCAGGGGCCCGAGAGAGGGGUGCGCGGGCCCAGGGCAGCUGUGGCGAGGAUUGUCGCUGAGGCUCAAGCGCCGGCCGGGUGUCUGGGGGCCCAUCCCAUCACGGUGGGGACUGUGUGGAAGGUCCAGCGAAGCCAUCCAGGUGGCAGAGGAGGGCGAUCUGGAAGGGGGGUUGGGGGCAGGCACACACAUUCACUGUCAUCUCCCCACCGGCCGAUGGACAGGGUCAGGCACUGUCUUCUGUCGGGGGCACACUGAGCACCUUGACAGUUCACCAACGGCCCCGCCCCUGGGUCCCCAACAGGGGAGCCUGGAAACAGAUCUCUUGCUGCCGGCUGGCCGAGUCUCUGGAGUACAUUUCCGCUACCCUGGGCAGUUAGGGGCAGCCUGAUGGGCACGCCUGGGGAGGAAAUGUGAGCCUGCCGGCAGGGAGGCCCUGUCACCUGAGGCAGGCGACGGGGGCCCUCUCUGCUUCCUUCCACUGAGCCGCCGUGAAACUCCCUGGAGCAGGCUCAGGUGGUGCCUUUGGGGAAGCUUGGGUGCUGUAUGCCCAGCAGCAGUAGCUUGGUCUUCCAGAAGGAUCUCCAGGCUCUAAGCAGCACCCCCUGCUCAAAGGGCCCUGGGCCUCCACCCUCCCAGCCCAGAGACCAGCCCCAGCAUCACCCCCGGGGACAUCGUCCUGCAGAUGCGGCCCUGGGAGGCUGACCGCAGGCAGGAGGUGCUCCCAGGUGGGGUGCAUGUCAAGUGGUUUCUCAAAUAGCACGGGGACACCCUCCUGGUGAGGCGUGAGCCUGAAUGGGUGAACUCUGGCCCAGGGGAGGGGCCUGAAAAGUGGGUGCUAUUAUCACCAUAGUCCAGUGGCCGCCAGGCCUGAAGGCUCUGCCGUCACAUCCAAGUUGACCUUGAGAUAAGGCCGUCUGAUGCCUCCUCUCCUAGCAGGGAGCAGAGACGGGUGUUGGCUGAGCCCUGGGGUGGGGGGAUCACCGUGUGCCCAGGGUGGGGGGCCCUGGCACCCCGGUUUUCUCCUACGCGGGUGACUCCCCGGGGGCUCCCAGGCCAGAGCCGCACCCUCUGGAACUGGUUCUCCUGCGUGCAGUGCUGGGCGGGACAGAAACUGAACAGGCUGUACCCAGGGAUGUAAAUGACCCUGCCUGAGAAAAAGGAAGGGCGGCCCCAGCCCGGAGCAGGCAGCCCCCGUGCCCCCACACAGCUGGCAUGGAAAACUCCCCUGCCCCAGACGCGGCCUCGUCUUGUCUCCGUUCUGGAGGGCGGGGGUAGGAGAGGUGACCCCCGUCGGUCAGACCCCAGGUCCACCCGGGCCUCGUGGGCCUCUCUUGCCCAUCCAGCCACCGCAAACUGGGGAGCCCCCGCCAAGGUGAGCCUGUUUCCACCCCUCAGUUUGAGGCCUAGAGUUGGAAAAGCCAGACUGCAAAGGGGGGUGAGCAAUGCCAACCAUACCGCCAGGAUGCAGGGGCUGGGGGAGGGCAGGGAAGACAGAGGGAGGGAGGGAGGGGCUCCCUGAAGGAGAAGCACUCGCCGCCCCCCCUGCCCCAGCCCCAGGAACUGAGCCCCGGGAGAAGAGUAUUGCUCAACGCAGGAAGGCGAGGCCAGUUGCUGUUUCCGCGGCCGGAGGGGUCUUCAGAGCCCCGGGACAAGUUCGGCAUGGCCCCACUCCUUCCCCUGGGCCUGGAGACGCAGAGUCCCUGCCCUGUGCCUCUCGCUUUCACGAUCCUCACGACAUCCUCACGCACAUUUGAACUGGACGAGAUGGACAUGCUCCCGGGUUUGAAAUGCCCACGCAUCUUUAUUUCCACCGCCAGCGUAUCAUUUGCAGUAUUGAAAUGAGACUUGUAAGAGGCGCUUUGGAACGAAGCCCACUGACAUAGGAAGCUGCCGCGGGCGUGACGCGCCCGAGUCCCCACUGGCCAGCCCUCUACCCACGGGACGACAGACCGCUCUCCCGGGAAACGCCUUCGGAUCUCCGCAUCUCACAUGUGGGAUUUUUCCCUGAUGCGUUUGCCGCGUGGCCUGAUCGUACAGCCCCUGUAAGGGUCUCCGUGUGCCCCUCCCCCAGCCCCUCGUGUCCCCAUCCCUGAGCUGCUGCUUCAGGGAGUCAACUCUGUUCAUGACAUGAAGAAUAAAAUUAAACAGGAAACGGAAGGGCUUUUUCUGGGGCGUGUGAACUCUUGGGACAGCUGUGUGACCACUGUGUCACCGUGCAGAGCGUCCAUCUCACUCCGGGGGCGGGAGAGGACAAGGCGGACGUGCGCCAGGACCCUGGGAGCUGUGCGUGGGCCUGUGCGGACCUCCCGCCCCUCCUGGGAGAAGAGACAGACUGCUUCCUGCCCCGCGGUGGCCCUUCCAGGGGCAUUCCCUGGGAUGGCCACGCCUCUGCCUGAAGACCAUCCUCGCACCCCAGCAGAAAGUACCCCCUUUCCAGAGCUUCGCAGAGUGACACUGGAGAACCGGGGGUUAAACUCUUGAGUUUAUGAAACAAGAACCAAAGACCAAGCUUCUGGUAAGAUGUGUUGGUGGAAAUGUCUGGAAAGAGGAGGUCAGCUUAGCGGCACUGGGUGGAGAACGAGCUGGGAGUCCCCACACACAGCGCAGGCAGAGCCGGAGGGCUGCCCGUCCUUCUCGGCGGAGCCGGUGGGGGGCCUGCAGGAGGGGCGGCAAUCGGGGUCGGUCCCACCGAGGACGCCGGGCAGCCGAUCCGACAGAUCUGACAGAUCUGCGCUUUUCUUCUCUCCUUUAAGAAAGUUUUUCUAAAAUUAACUUUUUUGUUUACUUUAACAAGUUGAAGAAC